RNAcentral lists this ribosomal RNA (451 nucleotides) under uncultured bacterium. Its description in RNAcentral is "partial 16S ribosomal RNA". It matches the Rfam family "Bacterial small subunit ribosomal RNA", at positions 29 to 523 of the family's 1533-position model. The record is from RNAcentral.
AGCGAACGCUGGCGGCAGGCCUAACACAUGCAAGUCGAGCGGCCGUAGCAAUACGGCAGCGGCAGACGGGAGAGUAACACGUGGGAACGUACCUUUCAGUUCGGAACAACCAAGGGAAACGUUGGCUAAUACCGGAUACGCCCGUAAGGGGAAAGAUUUAUCGCUGAAAGAUCGGCCCGCGUCUGAUUAGCUAGUUGGUGGGGUAAUGGCCCACCAAGGCGACGAUCAGUAGCUGGUCUGAGAGGAUGAUCAGCCUCACUGGGACUGAGACACGGCCCAGACUCCUACGGGAGGCAGCAGUGGGGAAUAUUGGACAAUGGGCGCAAGCCUGAUCCAGCCAUGCCGCGUGGAUGAUGAAGGCCCUAGGGUUGUAAAGUCCUUUCGACGGGGAAGAUAAUGACGGUACCCGUAGAAGAAGCCCCGGCUAACUUCGUGCCAGCCGCCGCAGUAA